Molecule: long non-coding RNA, 2144 nt
Organism: Ictidomys tridecemlineatus (thirteen-lined ground squirrel)
Lineage: Eukaryota; Metazoa; Chordata; Mammalia; Rodentia; Sciuridae
Source: RefSeq, a predicted model, not a curated record
GUCCUCCUCGCUCGAUUCGCCUCCUCCUGGGAUUGCGGUAGCCGGGUCCAAGGGAAGAGGACGGAGAGUUGAGACUGACCAUUUGGAGGAAGGUUGUCCGGGGAUCCUGUUAGUGCACCUGCCCCCUCUCCCCCGACCCCAAGACAUUUUUAACACCACCUCAUCCCUCAAGUUCGGCUCUCUCAUUCUCCCUCCAGUAAAAAAGGCUAAACUGUUGGGUCUGAUAGGAAAUCGAGUGGUGUAUGAGGAAAAGAGGGAGAAAGGGAUUGGUGAGACGGGUCUGGGGAUGCAGCUCGGGAGUUGAGCCCUUGCCCUGCAAGCGCGGAACCCCGGGAUUCAAUCCCCAGCAUUGGGGCGGGGGCGGGGGUAAUAAGAAGUGAGAAGAAAAUUGCCAAAAUCAGGUUGAGAAAGUCCUGUGAAGUAGAAAGUACUUCUGUCCAUUAGUUCCAGAUACAUUUGUAAGACAAGAAGCCGUGUUGGAACACAGCGAUAUUCGUUCUUUAAUUGGGAGCGGUGAGCUCAUCAUAAAAAUGUUGAGCUCUGAGGUUGUACAGCUGUUAACCAGCAGCUGCAGACCAGGCAAAAGUGCCUGUCCUUCAACAGGAUGGGAGUCAAGGGGUUGACCCCAGUGAGGAAGCUGGGACCUCUGGACUAGAGAUGGCACAGGAGCAGUUGAGUAUAAUCACCAUGGAAAAAUAGACUGAAGAAAAACUUAAGGAAAAAGAAAAAGAUGGGCUGAACAUGGAAGAAGUUUUCCUGUCAAGCAAAAUUACCUGCUUCUACUUUUUUGCACAAUGAUAAAUAAGAUUACCCAUACUAAUAACAAAUACAUAAAUGUUGAAUUUGAAAGUCCCUAUUGUAACAAACACUGCUAAACUUAAUAUAAAUUCACCAAAUUCCAGAAAUUAGAGUUUAAAUGGGCUAUUGUACCCCUAAAUAGUAAAAUUCAUAGUGCUUUCUUUAAAAAGGUUUAUUCUUAGGAUAUUGUAAUAAUAGUGUCUAAUCAUUAUAGUUGUCAGGUAGAGACCAGUAUUAGUAUACCAGCUUGACCAAAGAUUUAUAGCCUCAAACAUCUUUCCUUCAUAGUAAUAAUGUGUGAUUAGUCUUUUGGGGGAUUAUAUGGUUGUCUCCCCUGCUCUGCUGUAAGCUCUUUGAGAGCAGGGACCUUGUCUGUUCUGCUCAAGGGCAUAUUUGAGACCCAGCACAUAGCUGGACACAAUCUCAGCAACUUGGGAGGCUGAGGCAGGAAGAUUGCCAAGUUCUAGGCCAGUCUAGGCAACUUAGCAUGAUCCUGUCUCAAAAUAAAAAAUAAAAAGGUGCUACUGAGCACCCUUGGCUUCCAUCCCCAGUUCUGAGAAAAAAUAUAAAGAGCCAGCACAUACUGGCAAUUAAUGGCCACCUCAAUAUUUACUGAAUACAUGAAUGAACUUAGAAAGUACGGAGGAGUUUCGAGGCUAAGAUAAUGAUUGGAGUUUUGGAUGUGCUGUGCUUGAAGUAUCUGUGCUUCAUUCCAAUGAACCUCUUCAUUGCAAGAUCAGUUUCCCAUCUCACCUUGACAUACUCAGCUCACACAUUCAAACACAGAGCCCUCUGGCUUCUUCCAUCUAAUAAGCAAUCAUAUAUUUCCGUGGGGUGGGAGAGAUAAGUAUAAUAAUGGUGUAUUUGAAGUGGUCUUCCCUGAGGCAAUAUAUAUCACACCCUCUCCUCCCUCCUAAAUAAACAUGACUUUUUUUCCUAAUCCUUGUAAAAAAAAAGAUCCCAUUUACCUCAGCUUAAAAAUAGCCUAGGAUCUGGUCACAUGACAACCCAAUUUUAGGAGUUUGUUGGAAACUUCCUACUAUUCAGUGACCAACCAAGACACAAACAUAGGACUACCCAUUCUGUUUAUAUUCUUUUGAUAUUCUGAGCAGCUUUUUGUAAAGAGAAUUAAUAAAAUAUAUUUCUAUAAUUAAGAUUGCCAGAUAAAAUAUGUCAGUAUGCAUUUCAGAUAAAUAAUUACAUUCUUGUACAAGUAUGUCUCAUGCAAUAUUUGGGGUAUACUUAAAUAUUGUUUAUUGGAAAUUCAAAUCGUGUUGGGUAUCCUAUAUUUUUAUUUGCUAAAUCUGGCAACGUAUAAUAUAACCAACUUCAGAUGAUCAAGAAAA